AAUUAUCCCAGAGAAUUAUUUAUAUUAAAAACAGGCUGAGCGUAGUUUGAACUGUGACCAUCAAAAAAACUGGAAAAUAAACAUUCACCUUGUCAAGAUCUCUGUCGAACCCCCCUG
Prolemur simus (greater bamboo lemur) is the source of this 117-nucleotide unclassified non-coding RNA. The record is from Ensembl. Lineage: Eukaryota; Metazoa; Chordata; Mammalia; Primates; Lemuridae.